Molecule: long non-coding RNA, 447 nt
Filed under: Salvator merianae (Argentine black and white tegu)
Lineage: Eukaryota; Metazoa; Chordata; Lepidosauria; Squamata; Teiidae
Description: lncRNA (ENSSMRG00000019796.1)
Source: RNAcentral
CAAUGGGGAGGGGAGUUUGCCCACAUUCUGUCCCCCUGGAUCUGCCUUUCUUUCCCACCCAGGAUCCCCUCCACCGACUGAUGAAUACGCACGGGACAGAGGUUCGGGUGUCCCCCCAGAGGAAGAAAGCUGUUCGACUGAGAUUGAGGAAAGGUAACAGGAGUUUGCACAGGAAUUUGGAGGACUGACUGCUGCUCCUCUGGCGGGUUUGUUGGGUAGAUCCUCUGGGUUUUGGAGGGUUUCCUGGGCACUUGGCGUAUUGCUGGUUUCGCCACUAGAGGGUGGCUGCUUUCUAAGGUAGCCUGAGCACAUGGACUGACAGAGGAGAGGCCUGAGCACCUUUUUAUUUUAUUUAUGUGUUAUACCCACAGAUUUCAGGGUGGGUCACAAUAGAACCAAUACAAAGGUAGAUCAAAUAAAUUACUUAAAAUGGCGAUAAUGUCUGCA